RNAcentral lists this ribosomal RNA (439 nucleotides) under uncultured bacterium. RNAcentral describes it as "partial 16S ribosomal RNA". It matches the Rfam family "Bacterial small subunit ribosomal RNA", at positions 338 to 795 of the family's 1533-position model. The record is from RNAcentral.
CCUACGGGUGGCAGCAGUGGGGAAUAUUGCACAAUGGGCGAAAGCCUGAUGCAGCAACGCCGCGUGAGCGAUGAAGGCCUUCGGGUCGUAAAGCUCUGUCCUCAGGGAGGAUAAUGACGGUACUUGAGGAGGAAGCCCCGGCUAACUACUUGCCCGCAGCCGCGGUAAUACGUAGGGGGCUAGCUUUAUCCGGAAUUACUGGGCGUAAUGGGGGCGUAGGUGGUUUCUUAAGUCAGAGGUGAAAGGCUACGGCUAAACCGUAGAGAGCCUUUGAUACUGGGAAACUUGAGUGCAGGAGAGGAGAGUGGAAUUCCGAGUGUAGCGGUGAAAUGCGUAGAUAUUAGGAAGAACACCAGUUGCGAAGGCGGCUCUCUGGACUGUAACUGACACUGAGGCACGAAAGCGUGGGGAGCAAACAGGAUUAGAUACCCUUGUAGUC